CCCUUAGAUGUUCUGGGCUGCACGCGCGCUACACUGAAGCUAUCAACACGUUUUCCCUCCCUGAGAAGGGCGGGUAACCUUUUGAAUCAGCUUCGUGGUAGGGAUCGGGGCUUGCAAUUGUUCCCCGUGAACCAGGAAUUCCUAGUAGACGCGAGUCAUAAGCUCGCAUCGAUUAAGUCCCUGCCCUUUGUACACACCGCCCGUCGCUACUACCGAUUGAACGUUUUAGUGAGGCAUUUGGACCGACGCAUCUCAGUUUAACCGCUGGUCUGUGUUGGAAAGACUUCCAAACUUGAGCGUUUAGAGGAAGUGAAAGUCGUAACA
This 324-nucleotide ribosomal RNA is filed under the name uncultured eukaryote. RNAcentral's name for it is "partial 18S ribosomal RNA". It matches the Rfam family "Eukaryotic small subunit ribosomal RNA", at positions 1470 to 1796 of the family's 1831-position model. The record is from RNAcentral.